GGUCCGCUGGCUCAAUGGCAGAGCGUCUGACUACGACUUCAUGAAGUUAUCAGGAGGUUCCAGGUUCGACCCCUGGGUGGAUCG
RNAcentral lists this transfer RNA (84 nucleotides) under Cercophora newfieldiana. It matches the Rfam family "tRNA". From Rfam's summary of the family: Transfer RNA (tRNA) molecules are approximately 80 nucleotides in length. Their secondary structure includes four short double-helical elements and three loops (D, anti-codon, and T loops). Lineage: Eukaryota; Fungi; Ascomycota; Sordariomycetes; Sordariales; Lasiosphaeriaceae. The record is from Rfam by way of RNAcentral.